Molecule: ribosomal RNA, 73 nt
Filed under: Sarmentypnum exannulatum
Lineage: Eukaryota; Viridiplantae; Streptophyta; Bryopsida; Hypnales; Amblystegiaceae
Description: partial 25S ribosomal RNA
Rfam family: Eukaryotic large subunit ribosomal RNA
Source: RNAcentral
CAGACCUNUAAUCGGAAAAGACUACCCGCUGAGUUUAAGCAUAUCACUAAGCGGAGGAGAAGAAACUAACCAG